RNAcentral lists this long non-coding RNA (348 nucleotides) under Piliocolobus tephrosceles (Ugandan red Colobus). Its description in RNAcentral is "lncRNA (ENSPTEG00000013696.1)". The record is from RNAcentral. Lineage: Eukaryota; Metazoa; Chordata; Mammalia; Primates; Cercopithecidae.
CAUAUAUAUAUAUAUAUAUAUCAACAUGUCUUCAUCAACGUUCUACAUAUUUCUUCAGAAGAUAAAGACUAUGAGUUUGAUUUUCUUUGUGUGGCUGUUUUGAUCUACGAAAUGUGCACCAAAUAUAACACUUACUACUCCAAUGAAUUUAAACAAAUUUCGGAUACCAUUAAUAAGACCAAUUUAUAUUUCCCUCAUUUUGUAUCAUUUGAAUUAAAAAAUUUUUGCUAUGAGUUAUGCUCGAAAAAAAAACACUGCUUUAACGAUCUCAAAAAUCAUACUUGGUUUCAUAAGCAUCUUAACUUAUGAAAAAAGAGAAAAUAAUAAAAUCAUUAAAAAUAAUAACCA